GCCUCGGUGGUGUAGUUUUCAAAACGCUCGCCUGGUAAACAGGAGGGCGUGGGUUCAAUCCCAGCCGAGGUA
This 72-nucleotide transfer RNA is filed under the name Diaphorina citri (Asian citrus psyllid). It matches the Rfam family "tRNA". From Rfam's summary of the family: Transfer RNA (tRNA) molecules are approximately 80 nucleotides in length. Their secondary structure includes four short double-helical elements and three loops (D, anti-codon, and T loops). The record is from Rfam by way of RNAcentral. Lineage: Eukaryota; Metazoa; Arthropoda; Insecta; Hemiptera; Psyllidae.